This 823-nucleotide ribosomal RNA is filed under the name uncultured bacterium. RNAcentral describes it as "bacterial SSU rRNA". It matches the Rfam family "Bacterial small subunit ribosomal RNA", at positions 54 to 877 of the family's 1533-position model. The record is from RNAcentral.
CAUGCAAGUCGAGCGAAGCACUUUGCUUAGAUUCUUCGGAUGAAGAGGAUUGUGACUGAGCGGCGGACGGGUGAGUAACGCGUGGGUAACCUGCCUCGUACAGGGGGAUAACAGUUAGAAAUGACUGCUAAUACCGCAUAAGACCACAGCACCGCAUGGUGCAGGGGUAAAAACUCCGGUGGUAUGAGAUGGACCCGCGUCUGAUUAGCUAGUUGGUAAGGUAACGGCUUACCAAGGCGACGAUCAGUAGCCGACCUGAGAGGGUGACCGGCCACAUUGGGACUGAGACACGGCCCAAACUCCUACGGGAGGCAGCAGUGGGGAAUAUUGCACAAUGGGGGAAACCCUGAUGCAGCGACGCCGCGUGAGCGAAGAAGUAUUUCGGUAUGUAAAGCUCUAUCAGCAGGGAAGAAAAUGACGGUACCUGACUAAGAAGCACCGGCUAAAUACGUGCCAGCAGCCGCGGUAAUACGUAUGGUGCAAGCGUUAUCCGGAUUUACUGGGUGUAAAGGGAGUGUAGACGGAUGGGCAAGUCUGAUGUGAAAACCCGGGGCUCAACCCCGGGACUGCAUUGGAAACUGUUCAUCUAGAGUGCUGGAGAGGUAAGUGGAAUUCCUAGUGUAGCGGUGAAAUGCGUAGAUAUUAGGAGGAACACCAGUGGCGAAGGCGGCUUACUGGACAGUAACUGACGUUGAGGCUCGAAAGCGUGGGGAGCAAACAGGAUUAGAUACCCUGGUAGUCCACGCCGUAAACGAUGACUACUAGGUGUCGGGUGGCAAAGCCAUUCGGUGCCGCAGCAAACGCAAUAAGUAGUCCACCUGGG